RNAcentral lists this long non-coding RNA (1659 nucleotides) under Monodelphis domestica (gray short-tailed opossum). Its description in RNAcentral is "lncRNA (ENSMODG00000047608.1)". The record is from RNAcentral. Lineage: Eukaryota; Metazoa; Chordata; Mammalia; Didelphimorphia; Didelphidae.
AGUAUGUUGAUUAGAUUUUGCCAUAAGUUCCAUGUGAUGAGCCCUCUCAGAGAGACAAGGAAUUCUGUAUUUAUAAGAUUGGUCAUGGGGCUGAUGAGCCAGCUGCUAAGUAAGCUGCAGACCAAUGCUUGUACUAAGAAAAGAACAAAGUAUUUACUGAAACUCCAGUUAUUAAUUAAGUUCUGAACUGUCUGUGUCUGAACUGUCUGUGACUCCAUAUUUCUAAAGUAAAAACAUGGGAAGUAGGACAAGGCCAAAAGGUUUUCCCAGGUUUUUCUAAUCCUAAAUUAGGCAAUUGCUAGCCAGGAUCUUAGGGCCCUGUUGUUAAGAUCUAAAACAGCUUAAAUUAAGAAGAAUCAAAAAGGCUUUUUACUCACCCAUUCUUGCAGCUGUAAUUUGAAGUCAAGUUAAAAAAGAAAACAAAACUGACUGAUAUGCAAGUUGUAAGGCAAAGAGAUAAAGAAAAGAGAUUUCACAGAAGCCUUUUGAGGGUUUCUCAACAACUUCGUAAGGUCGCCAUAAACUCAGCAAGGAAGCUGGCUGAUACCAAAGGAGGAGUCUGCCAGAGGACAGAAGUCUGCGAGAGGAGGCUGAAGGCAUCAUCAGGACCCACCAGAUGUGAACGACUUAAGACUUUGGGAAUUGGGGUAGUGCUUUGAUUGUUAGUUUUUGGCCAAAGGCAGACUGCCUGCCUUUCUUGGCUCAAAUGUCAAUGCACCUGUGGCAUUGGGGAAUGUCCCCAAAUGCCAAUCAACAAUACCUGUGUCCCUAGACUUUCCCACCAGUAGGGGAUGGAGUCCAACCCCAUAUAACAUUACUCAUUUGUCCAUAUGUUUGGUCAGCAAUGUUUGGUCUUGACCAAAAGGGAGGGGGGUCAACAUGGAGAUAUAGAGAUCCCCAGGUUAUUUAGAGUGUAGAAAUCCCAGGUUUUGACAUUGUCACAGGAGAGUUUUCCCCCUGAGGGAAGGUCCCACUUCACCAGACAAUGGACAUCCUGGUAGUUUGGGUGGGAACAGCUAAUCCCAUCCAAUAUUAAGUAUCCCUUUUGUCCCUAUCAUUUCUCCCCCUAGGCUAAGGUCCAUGACCAAGGUGACCCUGGACUGAGUCUUUCCCUUUUGUGUCCUCUGUGGUGCAGUGGAUAGUGUCAGGUCUAGAGUCAGGAAGAUUCAUCUUUUUCAUCGAAGUAAUGGUCUUCAAAACCCAGCUACGAUGGUCUGGACACAUCAUCCGCAUGGACCCACAACGAAUACCAAGACAGGUAUUCUAUGGUGAACUGUCAGCUGGACUCAGGAAAUAAGGUUGACCAAAGAAAAGAUUCAAGGAUCAGCUAAAGUCAAACUUGAAGUGGGCUGGCAUUACACCAAAGCAACUAGAACCCGCUGCCUCUGACAAAAGCAGCUGGCAUACCCACAUUCACCAUGCCGCCACAACCUUUGAAGAUGAGCGACAUCGACAUCUCGCCGCUGUGCGUGAACGCCGACACCAGGCCACAACCGCACCUCCUGUAACAACUGGCGUCCCAUGCCCCAUGUGCCACAAACUCUGUGCCUCAGCCUUUGGACUUCAAAGCCACAUGAGGGUACAUCAAUAGAUGAUAAUGCACAAAGACAAUUGUCAUUCUCGGUCAUCUAGAGACUACCACUACUACCAUUGUAGGGC